CAAGCGGUGGAGCAUGUGGUUAAUUCGAAGCAACGCGAAGAACCUUACCAGGUCUUGACAUCCCGAUGCUAUUUCUAGAGAUAGAAAGUUACUUCGGUACAUCGGUGACAGGUGGUGCAUGGUUGUCGUCAGCUCGUGUCGUGAGAUGUUGGGUUAAGUCCCGCAACGAGCGCAACCCCUAUUGUUAGUUGCCAUCAUUCAGUUGGGCACUCUAGCGAGACUGCCGGUAAUAAACCGGAGGAAGUGGGGAUGACGUCAAAUCAUCAUGCCCCUUAUGACCUGGGCUACACACGUGCUACAAUGGGCGGUACAAAGGGUCGCGAACCCGCGAGGGGGAGCCAAUCCCAAAAAGCCGCUCUCAGUUCGGAUUGCAGGCUGCAACUCGCCUGCAUGAAGCCGGAAUCGCUAGUAAUCGCGGAUCAGCAUGCCGCGGUCGAAUACGUUCCGGGCCUU
This 453-nucleotide ribosomal RNA is filed under the name uncultured Streptococcus sp. Its description in RNAcentral is "bacterial SSU rRNA". It matches the Rfam family "Bacterial small subunit ribosomal RNA", at positions 926 to 1382 of the family's 1533-position model. Lineage: Bacteria; Bacillati; Bacillota; Bacilli; Lactobacillales; Streptococcaceae. The record is from RNAcentral.